CAAAAUUAGUCUUUGCCUACAGUUAUUUUAAGAUAGAAGAUUUCAUAAGAGGUAAGAGAACCUCCGUUACAUAACAUAAUUAAUUGAGGUAGACUCAGUCUUUUUUCGAAGUAAUCUGGUGCUUAUGUGCAUUCCACUGCAUCAACAUCCACACGAUUGAUGUGCCUGCAACGAAGCAGAGGAAUGCCAAAAUGGAUUCAGUAAUUGUGUGAUAUAUCAG
This 220-nucleotide unclassified non-coding RNA is filed under the name Hevea brasiliensis (rubber tree). Lineage: Eukaryota; Viridiplantae; Streptophyta; Magnoliopsida; Malpighiales; Euphorbiaceae. The record is from RNAcentral.